RNAcentral lists this ribosomal RNA (930 nucleotides) under Pseudomonadota bacterium. RNAcentral describes it as "bacterial LSU rRNA". It matches the Rfam family "Bacterial large subunit ribosomal RNA", at positions 1 to 912 of the family's 2925-position model. Lineage: Bacteria; Pseudomonadati; Pseudomonadota. The record is from RNAcentral.
GAGCGAUCAAGUGACCUAAGGGCAUCUGGUGGAUGCCUUGGCGGUAGGAGGCGAUGAAGGACGUGGUACGCUGCGAUAAGCUGCGGUGAGGCGCGAACAGCCGGUGACCCGCAGAUUUCCGAAUGGGGAAACCCACCUUCGAUAACUGGAACUUCGAGGUCGGAAGGCCUCGGGGAUCCACCCGGACGUCCGAGUUCGGAUUUCCGGUUAUCAACGAAGGUAUCUAAACCCUGAACACAUAGGGGUUUAGAGGCGAACCCGGGGAACUGAAACAUCUAAGUACCCGGAGGAAAGGAAAUCAACCGAGACUCCGUUAGUAGUGGCGAGCGAACGCGGACCAGGCCAGUGCUUCAGCGAGGACAACUGGAACCAUCUGGAAAGUUGGGCCUCAGAGGGUGAUAGCCCCGUACAGGUAAUGCCGAGCUGAAGCCUUGAGUAGGGCGGGACACGUGAAAUCCUGUCCGAAUAUGGGGGGACCACCCUCCAAGCCUAAGUACUCCCUACCGACCGAUAGCGCACAAGUACCGUGAGGGAAAGGUGAAAAGAACCCCGACGAGGGGAGUGAAAGAGAACCUGAAACCGGAUGCCUACAAACAGUCGGAGCCCGCAAGGGUGACGACGUACCUUUUGUAUAAUGGGUCUGCGACUUAGUCUGACGAGCAAGCUUAAGCCGAUAGGUGUAGGCGCAGCGAAAGCGAGUCUGAAUAGGGCGUUUAGUUCGUCGGACUAGACCCGAAACCAGUCGAUCUAUCCAUGGCCAGGUUGAAAGCAGGGUAACGCCUGCUGGAGGACCGAACCGGUGACUGUUGCAAAAGUCUCGGAUGAGCUGUGGAUAGGGGUGAAAGGCUAAUCAAGGCUGGAAAUAGCUGGUUCUCCGCGAAACCUAUUUAGGUAGGACCUCGAGUGAAUACCCCAGGGGGUAGAGCACUG